This 464-nucleotide ribosomal RNA is filed under the name uncultured bacterium. RNAcentral describes it as "partial 16S ribosomal RNA". It matches the Rfam family "Bacterial small subunit ribosomal RNA", at positions 28 to 506 of the family's 1533-position model. The record is from RNAcentral.
GAUGAACGCUGGCGGCGUGCUUAACACAUGCCAGUCGAACGGAAAGGCUCCUGCUUGCAGGGGUACUCGAGUGGCGAACGGGUGAGUAACACGUGGGUGAUCUGCCCUGCACUUCGGGAUAAGCCUGGGAAACUGGGUCUAAUACCGGAUAGGACGAUGGUUUGGAUGCCAUUGUGGAAAGUUUUUCGGUGUGGGAUGAGCUCGCGGCCUAUCAGCUUGUUGGUGGGGUAAUGGCCUACCAAGGCGUCGACGGGUAGCCGGCCUGAGAGGGUGUACGGCCACAUUGGGACUGAGAUACGGCCCAGACUCCUACGGGAGGCAGCAGUGGGGAAUAUUGCACAAUGGGCGCAAGCCUGAUGCAGCGACGCCGCGUGGGGGAUGACGGCCUUCGGGUUGUAAACUCCUUUCGUCAGGGACGAAGCGAAAGUGACGGUACCUGGAUAAGAAGCACCGGCUAACUACGU